RNAcentral lists this ribosomal RNA (440 nucleotides) under uncultured bacterium. RNAcentral describes it as "partial 16S ribosomal RNA". It matches the Rfam family "Bacterial small subunit ribosomal RNA", at positions 338 to 795 of the family's 1533-position model. The record is from RNAcentral.
CCUACGGGUGGCAGCAGUGGGGAAUAUUGCACAAUGGGGGAAACCCUGAUGCAGCAACGCCGCGUGAGUGAAGAAGUAAUUCGGUAUGUAAAGCUCUAUCAGCAGGGAAGAAAAUGACGGUACCUGAGUAAGAAGCCCCGGCUAACUACGUGCCAGCAGCCGCGGUAAUACGUAGGGGGCAAGCGUUAUCCGGAUUUACUGGGUGUAAAGGGAGCGUAGACGGCAGGGCAAGUCUGGAGUGAAAGGCGGGGGCUCAACCCCGGGACUGCUCUGGAAACUGUGCGGCUGGAGUGCAGGAGGGGUAAGUGGAAUUCCUAGUGUAGCGGUGAAAUGCGUAGAUAUUAGGAGGAACACCAGUGGCGAAGGCGGCUUACUGGACUGUAACUGACGUUGAGGCUCGAAAGCGUGGGGAGCAAACAGGAUUAGAUACCCGAGUAGUC